This is a long non-coding RNA of Corvus hawaiiensis (hawaiian crow), 912 nucleotides long. RefSeq lists it as uncharacterized. The transcript is spliced from 3 exons. The record is from RefSeq and is a predicted model, not a curated record. Lineage: Eukaryota; Metazoa; Chordata; Aves; Passeriformes; Corvidae.
GAGGACGGCACAGGGAGCUUUUGUUUGGGCAGGCAACAGAGAGAGGUGAUUUGAGUUUGCUGGAAUGAGUUUCCUUCAGAGCAUUUUGCAUACGAUGCUCUUUUCCCUCAAUGAGAGAUCAGGAGCUGAACCAGUUAAAACAAGUACAUCAAAACAAUUUGAACGAAUCCAUUAUUUUUUACUUAUUUCUGGCCAUUAGUCAUCCUCCUUCUGCUGUUUUAAGCAAAUGAAAUGUGCUGCCCUGAAACUUUCAGACCUACUGUGUAAUUUUUCCCUCUCAGUAGGUAAUUUAGUCAGUAAGUCUUUGAUCAUGCUCCAAAUCAUUCCCUAAGUGUUGGUGCACUCGGAUCUGCUACUCCGUUACUGAGAAAAUUUCUCCUUGAGAAAAUGUCAUUGCCGGGAAUUCCAGGCUCCUGGACUCUCCUGGGUUCCCCAGUUGGUUUAAGGAUGUUGAGAGGAGAAAGGCUGCACCUGCCCAGGGUGGAGGUGAUGCGGUUGUCAUUCAUCCGGAAGGAAUGUCAGAGGAUGAGCAGUCGCUGCAAGCCCAGAGCAAGAGGCAGGAGAACACUUUACCAACGCUGUAAACCUGGGAGUAAAGUCUUGGCUGAAUUUGUGUCUGGCACCAUGCUGCUGUCAAGGUAAAAACUCUCCUCUGAGAUCAGGGAGUUCUGCCUCUGUCAGGGCAAUCAAUGCAACUCUGGUCCCUUUAGUGAGAAAUCUGAGCCAUUUUCCUGUGGUUGAGUGAACAGGGAUGUCUCCAACAGCUUUUCAUCACCUCCUCUCCGUCCCUCUGCUCCACUGCUCCUGUCCAGAAUCCACCUCGGAAUCCUUCUUCUGAUGCAGCUUCUCAGGCUGAAAUAUUUGGAUGUUCCUCUGUGUUUUGUUUGCAAAAAUAACCAUAUUUGUAAAACA